This 362-nucleotide long non-coding RNA is filed under the name Brachypodium distachyon (stiff brome). Its description in RNAcentral is "long non-coding RNA (BDIS_LNC003031)". The record is from RNAcentral. Lineage: Eukaryota; Viridiplantae; Streptophyta; Magnoliopsida; Poales; Poaceae.
GCGGAUUCGGGCCUAAGGGUUUGCGACCCCGCGCGAUCUGCAUUCUUCACAGCCCUGACUGAGGCGGAUUCGGGCCCAGGAAGCGGCUCUGGGUCUGGCUGUGGGCCUGGUAGUGGUUUAGGGUCUGGGCCAGGCAGCGGUUCUGGGUUCGGGUCAGGCUGUGGGCCUGGCAGUGGUUGUGGGUUUGGGUCAGGCUGUGGGCCAGGAAGCGGCUUUGGGUCCUCUGGGCCUGGAAGUGGUUUCGGGCCCUCUGGACCAGGAAGAGGCUUUGGGUCCUCUGGGCCAGGAAGUGGCUUUGGGUUCCCUGGGCCAGGUAGCGGCUUUGGGCCAGCUGGCAGUGGCUCCGGUUUUGGGUAUGGAUC